Chiroxiphia lanceolata (lance-tailed manakin) is the source of this 667-nucleotide long non-coding RNA. RefSeq lists it as uncharacterized. The transcript has 6 exons. The record is from RefSeq and is a predicted model, not a curated record. Lineage: Eukaryota; Metazoa; Chordata; Aves; Passeriformes; Pipridae.
CCCCCCGAGGCUCCGGCAUGUAUUUGGUGCCGUUUCCCGUCCGGCGCGAAGCGAGGUCAGUGCUGAGGGGAGGUCACGUGACCUCAGUUUUGGGGGUGUUUUGCGGCGGUUUGGGGGAUUUUUUGGGGAGUGUUUGACCUCCCUAAAGCCCCAGCCAUGACCCCCCAAUGUUCCCCCCGGAUCUGAAGCUCUGGAACCUCCGGAUCCUCCCGAACCUCCGGAUCCUCCUCUGGAUCCUCCGUCCCCACUCCGGGAUCAAGGGCCUAGAGCAACCCCCCUCCAUCCCCCCACACCCAGGAAUUCCUGUCGGAUCCCGACUCUGUCAGUGACUUUGAGACCACUUUGCCCGCCCAGAAAAAAUGUGGACGCCCCCGGAGGUCCAACCAAGGGCCAACCCCGAAAUGCUCCCGGUGUUCUGAUGGGAUUGAGACGAACCCGGAGGAGAAUUCCCUUUUCCAGGCUGUUUUGUUGGGAAAAGCAGUGGUGGAGAUGUUGGUGGACGAGUGGCUGGAAUUGUACAAAUGGGAUUGGGAAUCGGGAUUGUUGGAGCUGCUCAACUUCAUCGUCAGGGCUUGUGGGUGCAGAGUUGUGGUGACCCCGGAGAUGUUCCGGGAGCUGCAGAAUUCCCAGAUCAUCCAACAACUCAUGGAGAAGUUCAAGGAGAUGC